RNAcentral lists this ribosomal RNA (479 nucleotides) under uncultured Glomeromycotina. RNAcentral's name for it is "SSU rRNA". It matches the Rfam family "Eukaryotic small subunit ribosomal RNA", at positions 570 to 1060 of the family's 1831-position model. Lineage: Eukaryota; Fungi; Glomeromycota. The record is from RNAcentral.
GCGGCUGCGGUAAUUCCAGCUUCAAUAGCGUAUAUUAAAAGUUGUUGCAGUUAAAAAGUUCGUGGUUGAAUUUCAGAGUUAGCAGGCUGGUCAUGCCACAAGUAUGUACUGGUCUUACUGAUCCUCCUUCCUGAUGAACUGUAAUGCCAUUAAUUUAGUGUUGCAGGAAGUCUGGACCGUUACCUUGAAAAAAUUAAUGUGUUUAAAGUAGGUUAACGCUUGAAUACAUUAGCAUGGAAUAAUGAAAUAGGACGUUAGAUUCUAUUUUGAGGAUUAAUGUAAUGGUUAAUAGGGAUAGUUGGGAGCAUUAGUAUUCAAUUAUCAGAGGUGAAAUUCUUGGAUUUAUUGAAAGACUAACUACUGCAAAAACAUUUGCACAAAGAUGUCUUCAUUAAUCAAGAAUGAAAGUUAGAGGAUCAAAGAUGAUCUGAUACCGUCGUAGUUUUAACCAUAAAUUAUGCCGACUAGGCACCUUACGG